GGGCGGAUCGUGGUGGCUGCGCUUGCGAGGACCCUGAGGUAGAUUGGGUGGUUUCAACAGGAACGCAUCCACUGUCUGAGAGUUUAAACUUGAUUUUGUGAGGGGACGAACAGCGUGACAAUUAAAAGAAGAUCUGGGAAUCAAGAGAAGACAUGGAGAAGAGGAGGGAGUAGUUGUGACCGUGGAGGCAGAGAAUGGAGUAAUGUGAUCAUAAAUCAAGGAAUGCUGACAGCCACUAAAGCUGGAGAAGGCCAAGGACAGAUAUUCAAUCCUCCCGUAGAAGUACAGCCCUGCUAAUGCAUUGAUUUUGGACUUCUGGCCUCAGAACUGUAAGAGAAUAAAUUUCUAUUGUUUUAAGC
Molecule: long non-coding RNA, 359 nt
Filed under: Homo sapiens (human)
Lineage: Eukaryota; Metazoa; Chordata; Mammalia; Primates; Hominidae
Description: non-protein coding TMEM161B-AS1:14
Source: RNAcentral